GCAUAUCAUAAGCGAAGAAAAGAACCAACAGGGAUUGCCCUAGUAACGGCGAGUGAAGCGGCAACAGCUCAAAUUUGAAAUCUGGCUCUUUCAGAGUCCGAGUUGUAAUUUGCAGAGGGCGCUUUGGCUUUGGCAGCGGUCCAAGUUCCUUGGAACAGGACGUCACAGAGGGUGAGAAUCCCGUACGUGGUCGCUAGCUAUUGCCGUGUAAAGCCCCUUCGACGAGUCGAGUUGUUUGGGAAUGCAGCUCUAAAUGGGAGGUAAAUUUCUUCUAAAGCUAAAUAUUGGCCAGAGACCGAUAGCGCACAAGUAGAGUGAUCGAAAGAUGAAAAGCACUUUGGAAAGAGAGUCAAACAGCACGUGAAAUUGUUGAAAGGGAAGCGCUUGCAGCCAGACUUGCUUGCAGUUGCUCAUCCGGGCUUUUGCCCGGUGCACUCUUCUGCAGGCAGGCCAGCAUCAGUUUGGGCGGUGGGAUAAAGGUCUCUGUCACGUACCUCUCUUCGGGGAGGCCUUAUAGGGGAGGCGACAUACCACCAGCCUGGACUGAGGUCCGCGCAUCUGCUAGGAUGCUGGCGUAAUGGCUGUAAGCGGCCCGUCUUGAAACACGGACCAAGGAGUCUAACAUCUAUGCGAGUGUUUGGGUGUCAAGCCCGAGCGCGUAAUGAAAGUGAACGGAGGUGGGAACCCGCAAGGGCGCACCAUCGACCGAUCCUGAAGUUUACGGAAGGAUUUGAGUAAGAGCAUGGCUGUUGGGACCCGAAAGAUGGUGAACUAUGCUUGAAUAGGGUGAAGCCAGAGGAAACUCUGGUGGAGGCUCGCAGCGGUUCUGACGUGCAAAUCGAUCGUCAAAUUUGGGCAUAGGGGCGAAAGACUAAUCGAACUAUCUAGUAGCUGGGUCUGCG
Molecule: ribosomal RNA, 902 nt
Filed under: Curvularia tuberculata
Lineage: Eukaryota; Fungi; Ascomycota; Dothideomycetes; Pleosporales; Pleosporaceae
Description: LSU rRNA
Rfam family: Eukaryotic large subunit ribosomal RNA
Source: RNAcentral